Molecule: ribosomal RNA, 465 nt
Filed under: uncultured bacterium
Lineage: Bacteria
Description: bacterial SSU rRNA
Rfam family: Bacterial small subunit ribosomal RNA
Source: RNAcentral
GAUGAACGCUGGCGGCACGCCUAACACAUGCAAGUCGAACGAAGUGUGAGGAAGCUUGCUUCCAAUCACUUAGUGGCGGACGGGUGAGUAACACGUGAGCAACCUGCCUCUUGGUUUGGGAUACCGUUCGGAAACGAACGUUAAUACCGAAUAAUAUAGCGGAUUCGCAUGUUUCUGCUAUCAAAGAUUUAUUGCCAAGAGAUGGGCUCGCGUCUGAUUAGAUAGUUGGUGAGGUAACGGCCCACCAAGUCGACGAUCAGUAGCCGGACUGAGAGGUUGAACGGCCACAUUGGGACUGAGACACGGCCCAGACUCCUACGGGAGGCAGCAGUGGGGAAUAUUGCACAAUGGGCGCAAGCCUGAUGCAGCGAUGCCGCGUGAGGAAGAAGGUUUUCGGAUUGUAAACCUCUGUCAUCGGGGACGAUAAUGACGGUACCCGAGAAGGAAGUUCCGGCUAACUACGUG